Long non-coding RNA from Lagenorhynchus albirostris (white-beaked dolphin), 1294 nucleotides. RefSeq lists it as uncharacterized. Lineage: Eukaryota; Metazoa; Chordata; Mammalia; Artiodactyla; Delphinidae. The transcript is spliced from 3 exons. The record is from RefSeq and is a predicted model, not a curated record.
GAGCCCCGAGACGCGGGACUCCCACCCCGCGGGUCGCUCCCGGCAGGCGCUGACUGUGCGAGCCGCAGCGGCCCCUGCAGGCGGAGCCCGGCGCGCCCAGGCCGGAGGCGGGGCGCGGGGCGGCAGCCUCCCAGCCAGCCCUGCGACCUCGGGCCCGGGCUGACCUGCUGUCGACUCGGGGCGAAAGGGGUGGACCAGGAUAGAUGGCGCUGGGCCCGCUCCCACGUGGGGCGGAGGCAGGAGCGCGGCGGGCCUGGGCCGGGCGGUGCGGUGCGGGGACGGGGUUCCAGAGCUGCGGGGUGACCUCCGGAGACCAAGGCAGCGCCUGGCCGGACUGACCCCGCUCACCCUUCCUCCGAAGAGGAACCCUGGGUUUGGCUUUUUUUUUUUAAUCUUGAGGUGUUUUCCCCCUUAAUAUUAAAUCCUAAAGGAAAUAGACAUUCAAGUUCCCUGUCCGUAGGGAAUUAUAAUCCUGGGCAAAAGAAAAAGAAAUAUUUCUCUAUGAUAAACACAGUAUCUCAAUAAGAAUUGAGAACUUUUCCCACUGACUUAAAUCCUGGGAAAGGAAAGGGGGAAAUGGAGUAUAAGGGAAGCUGAAAGGCAAACUUUAUCGUCCUCAUGAUUUUUGCCAAGAGUUGGCUCAUCCUGUUGAUGUUCAGAAGAGAAGCUGUAACACCCAAAGCAAGAACUCAGCGUGGUUUGUCUACGCUUAUGAAAUCGUUGAAUCUCUGGCCUGUCCCAGCAUGUUAACUGGAUUGGGCUGUUGGAAGUUCUGUGAUGUGGCUGCUUAUGACAAUAACCCAGGCUAGUUAAAGAAGGCUAGGAGGCAAUAAGAUCUUCCUUCUGUUAAUACAGUCACUACAGCUGUUAUAGAAAGAUCACCUGCUCUGUGGGGAAGCCAGUUGCCAUGUCAUAAGAACACUCAAGCAGCCCUUUAGAGAGACCCAAGUGGUAAAAAACUGAGGUCUCCUGACAAGAGGCAGGGAAAAAAAAAUUUCUUGCCGACAGGCAUGUGAAUAAGCCAUCUUGGAAGAAGAUUCUCCUGCCCCAGUCAGGCUUCAGAUGAUCACAGCCCCAGCUGACGUCUUGACCACAACUUCAUGCAAGAGCCACCCAGCUAAGUCAUUCCCAAAGUCCUGUUCCACAGAGACUGUGAAAUAAUAAAAUAGUGUUUGCAAAUAUCUUUUCCCAUUAUGCAUCUUGUCUUUUCACUCAUCUUAAGAUGUGUUUUCUUUUUUAAUAAACUGAAGUUCUUAACAAUGUAUUCCAGUUUAUCAAUCGUUUCUUCUAUGGG